UUUAAAUUAAAAUGAUUAUUAUAAUAAUAUCUUUUGAACGUCAUUAAAUAUUGGAAUAAAAUUCGGACGUUCAAAAUGUGCAUCACGGUAGCCAUAAAUUUGAACUGCAGGAAUAUGUGAUACAUUUUUUAAUACACAUUUUGCACACUUCAGCUUUGUUUCCAUCAAUUAAACCAAUAGUGCUAAAGUGAGUUUUUCGCUUUGUUUGUUGAAUGCAUGUUGUCUUAUUCGUGUCUCAAGGAGAACGCGCAUACAUAAAUUUUUCAUGGAGGACGUCUGUCAUAGGGAAUAUUCUUCUUCGAAGUGAAUAAAAAUGAAACCGAACGCACAUCUGGCGAGAGACACCAUUUUCGUGUUAUAAACAUAAAGUACUUGACCUGAUAAAAUCAUGCGCGCGAAAAUAGUGCAUAAUCCGAGAAGCGAGAAAAAAAUUUUAUAAUCCCAUUGAUGGGGAAGCCAGUCGUCGACACAAUUGCUGCAUCACAGCGUUACGUAAUCGCGAAUAAAUUAUCGUCGCAUGGUCGAGCCGCGUCAGUUCAUUGAAUGGAAGUAAUUCGAUUUUGCACGCACCCUUCGUGGCCGUGCUUCCUCGUCUAAGAUUAGAAUUCACGAGAUGAGGGUGGUCGCCUGGCGUAGUUAAUACAAGUGUUAAUAUGUGAGAAGGUAUGCAAAUGGGUCGAUCAUUGCCGCAUUAUCAGUCGUACAACGCGUAUUUCAAAAAUAUCUAUCUAUCAACUCUCCCCGAAAAUAACGUGAACAGUGCGUGGGCAAACGUCGCGAACGUCAACGUCUGAAGCAAUUUAAUUAAUCGACUGGGAAGCGAGAAUUAUCCUUGAUGUUACUCGAGCCAUUGGAAGAAAGCGGCGCGGCGGUCAUAUGUCUGGAGGACGUGUUCUAAUAAAAUUAGUAGAACCUGUUUUAACAGAAUUGACAGAGCACUGACGUAAUAUUGUUCACCAAAGAGGGUGUUUUCUCAAUCCUCGAUACCCUUGUAUCGCCACUCCCAGCUAUUCAUUCAACGUACUCCUCGAUAUCUUCAAGUAAUCAUACCCAAUGUACUUGCGACCGGCACACAAAUUACUGGCACGAUAACUUUGCUGCAGGAAUGCGACUCAGCUGUGUAAGCGCUGAAAAGAUAAAGUUACAAGUCCAAGCUGGAGAUCGAGUGUGCUCGAAAAUGCGUGCUGGGUGGAUGGAGCGUGUUUGGUGACGGUUAAGAGCGGAAUUCCAGUCAAUAGACAGUGUCAUUAAGUAAAACUCACGAAGGCCGAGCUCGACAAUUGGUUUACGAGCCGCACUGACAAGUCUCCCUCUGUCCAGAUUGUUCCAGAAAAGUUCCAUGAAUCUUUCUGCAGUUCUCGUGCCGAAAGCGCUUCGUGGCGAAUUUCAUUUUCUCUCCAGUUUGCACUAAAAAAAUGUUCUCAAACUUACGAUGGAACGUUCAACUUGUAAUCUACGUAAAAAUCGCUGUACACCAGAGUUAUCUCCUCGAGAAACCGCCGAGUAUUCUCAAAUUGAUAGACCAAACAGUGAAAUCCUCGUGCGAAAAUACACGCAAGUAUACAUGUUGCGCAAUAAACCGUACGCAUAUGCUGCCAUUGUAUCGAUACAUACGUUUUUUUAUAAAUAAAACAGAUGCAGAACGAGAAAACGUUGAUCAUGAAUUAAUUCAUGAUCCUAUCGUAAACAACGGCAAGCUACAUGAAGAAUUACUGAACUGUUUUGCAGAACCGCGGCUUGUAAAAGCAGAUCGGUGAUCCUGAGCUAAUUAGGGAAAAAAUACGUAGUCGGGUGUGAUGCAACGUUCUUUGCAUAAUCCCUGACCUGAUCAUAGCACCAACUAUUCUAACUUUUCUAACUACAGAAGCGAAAGCUUCUUCAAAAAUAAAACAAGAAGGUAUGUACAGACCAUAGCUUUGACACGAUAAUUUCCGUGACUGUCAAGAUUUCACGUGUCUCAUGGCCGUUGAUUUCGUCAUCGUUGUCAAUAAUUGCGUACACGUCGAAAUGCAAAUUUCGUAACAGCCGUGCCAGCGACCCUAUACUUAGAUCGUGAUCUCUUCAGCGCAGUCGGUCUUUGGAGGAAGCCAUUAACUUCCGCAGACAGAUGCGAGGCAAAGCUAUCCACUUAUGUAGAAUCAUCAUUUCCUCGGCGGGAUCACCCAGGUAUCAAUCGCUUACGAAGCCCGUCAACACUCCUGCACACUUGCUAGCAAGAGUAUUUCGUCAUGUUCACCUUGUACACGACGAUAUGGCAUAUCGGUCACAAGCCAAAAUUAUCAGAUGCAAUCUUGCGUCUAAACAAUUUAACUGCCUCCGGUAGUCAGAGUCACCGAUGUAAGAUACGGCGCAAACAGUGUUAGCAAUGUCAAUGUGGCUGUCAGGCGUUAGUAAGGCUGCGCGGGAGACCGUAAAAAUAUCUGGCACAUUUUCUCGUAGAAAUGUAUUGGCUCGUAAAGCUGGAGACCGUGCGAGGUCGUACGCGCGAGGUCGCGAUCUAUGUCUCGUCACUUCCGCGAUGUGACAAACCUCUAACGCUUUGAUUCUUUAAUGUAAAAUGCGCAUAUACAUGAGCUUGGUGAAGAGAAGACGUGACGUUCAUUUGGCUCUGACACUUGUUGAUAAGAAGAAUGAGAAUAAUAAUUCAUAGUUUUCUGAAUAGCCGAAGAUAAGGUGUUGUCAGCGACGGCAUUCAUAACGCGAUACGAACGUGAUUCUUUAACCGCGAUAUCAAGAUAGUGUUCGAAAUGUUUAUCGAUGGAUGGAAUAGAUGUAUACGUAUGUAUCAUGAUAUUUGAGUGUGCGAUCCCAAAAAGUGUAUAUAAUUGCGUGGGAGGUAUUCGCAAGACAGAGUGUUAUCGGAUGACUGAUAGAGAGAAACGCAUAACGAUAUGCCUUCGAUAUGCUUGACUUUAUUAUCGAUUGCAAUAGUUGCGAUGUACAGGUAUACAUGACAAACGCAUCACGUCGAAUAAAACCGGUGCAAGUGAUAUAAUUAACAAUGAAAAAAGGGGUGCCCGUACGGGCAUAAUUUAUUUACAAUAGAGAAAAGAGAAGCUCGUAACGUCGCAUAGGAAUACGUGGUUUGAUUCUCUCGACACGCGCUCUCGUAUUCGACGGUCGGUGACCUGUAACUCGCGUAUCAAGUCUAGCCACUUAUAUAACGUGCAAUUACCUAAUAAAGCUGUUAAAUGGCGCACAAAGUACGGCAUAAUUAGCGGUGCAAGAACACUCGGUAGUAACUUAGAUUACAGCUCGGUAAAUAAAAUCUUAACAGAGGUGCCUGAGGGGCCAUGGUCCUUAAUAAUAACGUGUUAAUUCCGCCCUUUGCCCCGUUGCUGUGCGUGUAAUACUCGAUAUUACUUUGUGUUUUUUAAAGAGAGAGAUUUACCUGUCUUCAAGGGGCUAUUGCUUCGCCUUCGAAUAAAUGAAUUCGCGCUGUUCGACGUUGCGCUUCUCCUUCGUGUACGAUGU
Molecule: long non-coding RNA, 3474 nt
Filed under: Ooceraea biroi (clonal raider ant)
Lineage: Eukaryota; Metazoa; Arthropoda; Insecta; Hymenoptera; Formicidae
Description: uncharacterized LOC113561639
Source: RNAcentral